RNAcentral lists this ribosomal RNA (720 nucleotides) under uncultured marine microorganism. RNAcentral describes it as "bacterial SSU rRNA". It matches the Rfam family "Bacterial small subunit ribosomal RNA", at positions 8 to 762 of the family's 1533-position model. The record is from RNAcentral.
AGAGUUUGAUCAUGGCUCAGAGCGAACGCUAGCGGGUGGCUUAACACAUGCAAGUCGAGCGCUUUCCUUCGGGAAAGAGCGGCGAACGGGUGAGUAACACGUAGGAUAUCUGCCUUUUGGUGGGGAAUAGCCGAGGGAAACCUCGAUUAAUGCCGCAUAUGGCCUAAGGGUCAAAGCCUUCGGGCGCCAAGAGAUGAGCCUGCGGCCCAUUAUUUAAUCCUUGUUGGUGGGGUAAUGGCCUACCAAGGGUACGAUGGGUAGCUGGUCUGAGAGGACGAUCAGCCACACUGGGACUGAGACACGGCCCAGACUCCUACGGGAGGCAGCAGUGGGGAAUAUUGCGCAAUGGGCGAAAGCCUGACGCAGCCAACCCGCGUGUGUGAUGAAGGCCCUAGGGUUGUAAAGCACUGUCGUGAGGGAAGAAUACUGACGGUACCUCACAAGAAAGCACCGGCUAACUCCGUGCCAGCAGCCGCGGUAAUACGGAGGGUGCAAGCGUUGCUCGGAAUUACUGGGCGUAAAGGGUCCGCAGGCGGGUGUGUAAGUCGGAUGUGAAAGCCCAGGGCUCAACCCUGGAACUGCAUUCGAAACUGCACACCUUGAGUACGGGAGAGGGAAGCGGAAUUCCUGGUGUAGAGGUGAAAUUCGUAGAUAUCAGGAGGAACACCCGUGGCGAAGGCGGCUUCCUGGCCCGAUACUGACGCUCAUGGACGAAAGCGU